Long non-coding RNA from Zalophus californianus (California sea lion), 346 nucleotides. RefSeq lists it as uncharacterized. The transcript has 3 exons. The record is from RefSeq and is a predicted model, not a curated record. Lineage: Eukaryota; Metazoa; Chordata; Mammalia; Carnivora; Otariidae.
CCGCCCCGCCCGCGCGCCUGUUAUUGUUGGGACCGCAGCCGAAGCUGAUGUCGCUUCGGCGGCCGCUAGCUCUGGGCACUGAAUGAUGACUUUAAGGCCACAGAAAUGGAGACAGAGCCAGGUCUUGUGAAUCUCAGGCUGGCAUUCUGCUGACUACAUGGAACUGCACCAGACAGAGGAUUCACCUGUGAACUCUCAGCGUGAUAGAAGCCUUGUUGGAACAGGCAAAACCUGGCCUAUCCUCCCCUCUACUGCUUGAUAACACAGCAUGAAAAGAUGCCAACUAUAAAUACCUAAAGUAAGAGAGAGACAGCACACAAGCAGGGGAAGCAGCAGACAGAGAGAG